GGUUGCAACGAUCCUGAUCAAAGGGAAUGUUUCCAAGUCCAGGAGUUGCUCGGUAGCGUCUUUUAGGGGGAUCAGUUUUCACGCCUGGUGUCAAUUGGGAUGCUUCAUUUUUCAGACGGCUUACUGGACAGAUCCCCAAGGCAAUGUGUCGCUUAAGGUGGCUGGUUCCAGCUAGCUUUGAACCAGUUAUAUAAGCAAAUGAUUUCUUGCACUGCUUGCAGCAUGCCCUCAUGCAACCAGCACCAACAGUUUCUAUAGUGAAGUGUUCCCAAACAAUCGACUUCUUUCUCCUGCGUUUAUUGGGCUGCUCCUCAGAAAUGGGCUCUUCAUUGUUAUCAGGAAGCAUUACAGGAGUAAUGGCCAAAAUAGGGGUUGUCGGCGAGUCCAUAUCCAUAGAAGUCAUAAUCCUCGAUUA
This 415-nucleotide unclassified non-coding RNA is filed under the name Hevea brasiliensis (rubber tree). Lineage: Eukaryota; Viridiplantae; Streptophyta; Magnoliopsida; Malpighiales; Euphorbiaceae. The record is from RNAcentral.